This 372-nucleotide ribosomal RNA is filed under the name uncultured bacterium. Its description in RNAcentral is "bacterial SSU rRNA". It matches the Rfam family "Bacterial small subunit ribosomal RNA", at positions 524 to 898 of the family's 1533-position model. The record is from RNAcentral.
UACGGAGGAUCCAAGCGUUAUCCGGAUUUAUUGGGUUUAAAGGGUGCGUAGGCGGUUUAUUAAGUCAGUGGUGAAAGCCCGGAGCUCAACUUCGGAACUGCCAUUGAUACUGAUAGACUUGAGUACAGAUGAAGUGGGCGGAAUGUGACAAGUAGCGGUGAAAUGCUUAGAUAUGUCACAGAACACCGAUUGCGAAGGCAGCUCACUAAAGUGUAACUGACGCUGAGGCACGAAAGCGUGGGGAUCAAACAGGAUUAGAUACCCUGGUAGUCCACGCCCUAAACGAUGAUUACUCGCUGUUAGCGAUAUACAGUUAGCGGCUAAGCGAAAGCGUUAAGUAAUCCACCUGGGGAGUACGGUCGCAAGAUUGAA